RNAcentral lists this ribosomal RNA (402 nucleotides) under uncultured bacterium. RNAcentral describes it as "bacterial SSU rRNA". It matches the Rfam family "Bacterial small subunit ribosomal RNA", at positions 355 to 774 of the family's 1533-position model. The record is from RNAcentral.
UGGGGAAUAUUGGACAAUGGGGGCAACCCUGAUCCAGCAAUGCCGCGUGAGUGAUGAAGGCCUUCGGGUUGUAAAGCUCUUUUGCCAGGGACGAUGAUGACGGUACCUGGAGAAUAAGCCCCGGCUAACUUCGUGCCAGCAGCCGCGGUAAUACGAAGGGGGCAAGCGUUGUUCGGAAUUACUGGGCGUAAAGGGCGCGUAGGCGGCCGAUCAAGUCAGGCGUGAAAUUCCCGGGCUCAACCUGGGGGCUGCGCUUGAUACUGAUUGGCUUGAAUGCGGGAGAGGAUAGUGGAAUUCCCAGUGUAGAGGUGAAAUUCGUAGAUAUUGGGAAGAACACCGGUGGCGAAGGCGGCUAUCUGGCCCGUAAUUGACGCUGAGGCGCGAAAGCGUGGGGAGCAAACA